GACGAACGCUGGCGGCGUGCUUAACACAUGCAAGUCGAACGGUGAAGGGACCAUCUUGCUGGUUCUGGAUGAGUGGCGAACGGGGGAGUAACACGUGAGUAACCUGCGCCCUUCUUCUGGAUAACCGCAUGAAAGUGUGACUAAUACGGGAUAUUCUGUGUCUUUCGCAUGUCGGGCCCGUGGAAGAUAUUGCUUCUGUGGGGGAUGGGCUCGCGGCCUAUCAGCUUGUGGGUGGGGGGAUGGCCUACCAAGGCGGUGACGGGUGUCCGGCGUGGGCGGGUGGAACGUCAAAAUGGGAACGAGACACGGGCCAGGAUCCCAACGGAGGGAGCCGUGGGGAAUAUUGCAACAUGGGCGGAAGCCUGAUGGAGCGAAGCCGCGUGAGGGAUGGACGCCUUCGGGUUGUAAACCUCUUUCGCCAGUGAAGCAGGCCAGCUGCUUGUGAGUGGGUUGACGGUAGCUGGAUAAGAAGCGCCGGCUAACUACGUG
This 489-nucleotide ribosomal RNA is filed under the name uncultured bacterium. RNAcentral's name for it is "partial 16S ribosomal RNA". It matches the Rfam family "Bacterial small subunit ribosomal RNA", at positions 28 to 507 of the family's 1533-position model. The record is from RNAcentral.